This 458-nucleotide long non-coding RNA is filed under the name Monodelphis domestica (gray short-tailed opossum). RNAcentral describes it as "lncRNA (ENSMODG00000030350.2)". The record is from RNAcentral. Lineage: Eukaryota; Metazoa; Chordata; Mammalia; Didelphimorphia; Didelphidae.
AGCAAAAGGCUAUAUUGGUCAUAUUUUGAAGAGGAGUCAAUUGAAGAUGAGAAAUGAUUCAAGAUACUGGAUCUGAAGAAAACAACAACAACAACAAAAAGAUUAACUUUGUGAGGGAGCAGUUUCAGUAAAGUAGUAGAAGUGAAAGUCAGAUUGCAAAAAACUGAGGAGUGAGAUUAUAAAGGCAGUAGUAAAUGCAAAACUAUUUGACACAGGAGUUUGUCAGUGAAGGAUAAGAAAGAGAGAGAAAAAUAGCUGGACUUGUUUUUUGAUUAGGAGAAGACCUGGACCUGUUAGUAUGCUAAGGGGAAGAAAUUAGUGGAUAUGAACAAGUAGAAAACAAAAUAAAGCAAACACUCACAAGAACCAAACAACUAUAUAAUAUGGACAACAUUAUGUUUUUUCAAUAUAACUUCAGAAGAAUGUUAAAAAUUGUUUCCCCAACUCCUUAUUGCUCC